UCCGAGUUGACCCCGGCAGUCUCUCACGAGUCCCCGCCAUUACGCGCUGGCAACAUAAGAUAAGGGUUGCGCUCGUUGCGGGACUUAACCCAACAUCUCACGACACGAGCUGACGACAGCCAUGCACCACCUGUACACCGACCACAAGGGGGGCCGUAUCUCUACGGCUUUCCGGUAUAUGUCAAACCCAGGUAAGGUUCUUCGCGUUGCAUCGAAUUAAUCCACAUAAUCCACCGCUUGUGCGGGUCCCCGUCAAUUCCUUUGAGUUUUAGCCUUGCGGCCGUAGUCCCCAGGCGGGGUGCUUAACGCGUUAGCUACGACACGGGAUCCGUGAACCAGACCCCACAUCUAGCACCCAUCGUUUACGGCGUGGACUAC
RNAcentral lists this unclassified non-coding RNA (378 nucleotides) under uncultured Actinomycetes bacterium. Its description in RNAcentral is "uncultured actinobacterium contains 16S-23S intergenic spacer region". Lineage: Bacteria; Bacillati; Actinomycetota; Actinomycetes. The record is from RNAcentral.